CCCGCGGUCAGACGGAAAGACCCUAUGAACCUUUACUGCAACUUCGCAGUGGCGCCAGGAAGGGACUGUGUAGGAUAGGUGGGAGGCUAUGAAGCCGGGGCGCUAGCCUUGGUGGAGCCAACCUUGAAAUACCACCCUGUGCCUUUCUGGCGUCUAACUGAGCCCCGUUAGCCGGGGCCAGGACCCUGCGUGGUGGGCAGUUUGACUGGGGCGG
Molecule: ribosomal RNA, 214 nt
Filed under: Pycnococcus provasolii
Lineage: Eukaryota; Viridiplantae; Chlorophyta; Pseudoscourfieldiophyceae; Pseudoscourfieldiales; Pycnococcaceae
Description: partial Bacterial large subunit ribosomal RNA
Rfam family: Bacterial large subunit ribosomal RNA
Source: RNAcentral